Molecule: ribosomal RNA, 448 nt
Filed under: uncultured bacterium
Lineage: Bacteria
Description: partial 16S ribosomal RNA
Rfam family: Bacterial small subunit ribosomal RNA
Source: RNAcentral
AACGAACGCUGGCGGCAGGCUUAACACAUGCAAGUCGAACGAGAUCUUCGGAUCUAGUGGCAGACGGGUGAGGAACCCGUGGGAACAUCCCUUUCAGUUCGGAAUUACGUUGGGAAACUAACGCUAAUACCGGAUACGUCUUUGGGAGAAAGAUUUAUCGCUGAAAGAUUGGCCCGCGUCUGAUUAGCUAGUUGGUGCGGUAACGGCUCACCAAGGCUACGAUCAGUAGCUGAUCUGAGAGGAUGAUCAGCCACAUUGGGACUGAGACACGGCCCCAACCCCUACGGGAGGCAGCAGUGGGGAAUAUUGGACAAUGGGCGCAAGCCUGAUCCAGCCAUGCCGCGUGAGUGAUGACGGCCUUCGGGUUGUAAAGCUCUUUUGUCCGGGAAGAUAAUGACUGUACCGGAAGAAUAAGCCCCGGCAAACUUCGUGCCAGCCGCCGCCGUAA